AUGGCGGCACGCAGACACUGCUGCCUCGGGAACGGGAUGGGGCUUGGAAGCCUCCUGGCCGGGGGGGGUCAGCGCGCGGUGGGGGCUCGGGGACGCGCAGAACGUGCUCGUGCUUUGCUGCUGGAAGGCGGCCGCCCCCAGGUGUGUGUGCGUGGGUUUGUGCAGUACAGUGCCGCCUCCUUGCACGCAUCCGUGUAUUUAAGUCUUUCCUUUUUUUCCCUUUUUCCUUUUUCCUCUUUUUCCUUUUUCCUCUUUUUCCUCUAUUUCCUUUUUUUCCUCUAUUUCCUUUUUUUCCUCUUUUUCCUUUUUUCCUCUUUUUCCUUUUUUCCUCUUUUUCCUUUUUUCCUCUUUUUCCUUUUUCCCCAUUUUUCCUUUUUCCCCAUUUUUCCUUUUUCCUUUUUUUCUUUCCUUUUUUUUCCUUUUUUCCCUUUUUCUUUUUCUCUCUUCUCCUUUCCUUUUUUCUCUUUUUCUUUUCUUUCUCUCUCCUUUUCUUCCUCUCUCAUCUCCUUUCUUUUUUUAUUUUCUUUUCUUUUUUCUUCUCUUUUUCCUUCCCUUCCCUUCCCCCUUCCCCUUCCACACCUUGUUACACCCCCCCAUUCACCCCCUCCCCCAGCUCAGGACUCCCCUGCAGCACUCACUGCCCGCCUGCACCCCAUUACGGAGACUUUUUUGAACGGAAAUAUCACGAUGUUACUUCUGCUAUUACCUUUCCCGUGCCCUCAGUUCUCAAUCGGCUCCUCUCAUGAGGAAGUCCUAACAUCAGUCAGUGCAGCUCUGCACCCAGUCCCCAGCAGAGGGAGAUGUCCGCCUCUGGGUGCCUCACAGACACAUACAUUGUUUGCUAUUCUUUAUUUUGUUGCUGUUUUGUUAAGUUUUUUGCUAUCUCUGCUCUCCACUGUUUUCCCAGUGGAUGAGAAGCGAACUUCCCUCCUCACCACCCUCGCAGGCUGCAGUGACUGUUCCAAGUGCCCAAGGCCCAACUCUGCUCCUCACCACGCAGCAAAAAGCCAGGCCCUUGCCAGCAGACUUCGUUAG
RNAcentral lists this long non-coding RNA (1035 nucleotides) under Numida meleagris (helmeted guineafowl). Its description in RNAcentral is "lncRNA (ENSNMEG00000009363.1)". Lineage: Eukaryota; Metazoa; Chordata; Aves; Galliformes; Numididae. The record is from RNAcentral.